Homo sapiens (human) is the source of this 1293-nucleotide long non-coding RNA. RefSeq lists it as uncharacterized. NCBI's taxonomy places the organism in Eukaryota, Metazoa, Chordata, Mammalia, Primates, Hominidae. The transcript is spliced from 2 exons. The record is from RefSeq and is a predicted model, not a curated record.
UCCCAACGUCUUCCCACCUUUUUCUCCCCUCUCCGUCUUCUCCCCUCCUUCUUCCCCACUGCGGUCUUCCCGCAUCCUCUUCUGCCGUCUCCCUACUGUCUUCUUCCCGCACCUUCUUCUCCCCCGCAGUUUUUUUUCCCCUUCCCCACCGUUUUCUUCCCCUCAGUCUCUCCCAUUCCUCGCAGCACGGGUUCCUGUGGCGGCAGCUUUUCCUUCCAUCUCCUUCUCUCCACCCGCUGGCUUCCAGUCUCCACCUUCCCGCCUAUUCCCCCAGCAGCGUCUUCCCGCCGCUCCCUCUUCUCCCCUCCCCCUCCUCACCGUCUUCUCCCGGCCUAUUACCGCCAACCGUUUUCUUCCUCACCCCGCACCCUUUUCUUCCCAUGUCUGCCUUAGUCUUCUUCCCACCCUCUUCUCCUCUCCCCAUCGCCUUCUUCCCACCCUCUUCUCCUCUCCCAAUCGUCGUCUUUCCCAGCCUCUUCUCCAUUUUCUUGCCGCCUCCAUAUCCCCACCUUCUCGCAGCAGCGUCUUCCUGCCGCGCUUUUCUCUCCCCUCACCAUCUUCUCUUCCUCUUCCCCACCGUCCUCUCCCCACGCCCUCUUCUCCUCACUGUCUUCUCCCCGCGCCUUCCCCACAACCGUUUUGUCCCCCGUUUUCUUCCCCUCACACCGUUUUCUUCCCAUGUCCUCCCACCGUCUCGCAGCAGCGUCUGUCAGUCGCAAUCUUCUUCCCACUUUCUUCUCUCCCCCUCCCAUCGUCUUUUUUCCCCAGCCUCUUAUUCUCCGCCAUCUUCUUCCCCUCCCCACCUUCUCGCAGCAGCGACUUCCUGCCGCGUUUUUCUCUCCCCGCACCCUCUUCUCCCCUCUUCCACUCCCCACCGUCUUCGCCCCCGAUCGUCUUCUUGCCCACCCCCUUCUCGCGCUCUCCAACUGCCUUUCACCUAGAAGCGCUCCACGCGUGCGCCCGCCUGUGUCCCUGCGCCUGGUGUGUCUGUGCGCCCAGCCAGCCCCAUGAGCUGGGCCCCUGAGCUCCGCCCCAACAGCCAACAGGAGACCCAGAAGGUCGUGGGAACAUACAGAGACCUACAGGGAAGACGGCCAUGGGACAAGGGAGGCAGAGUCUGGAGUUACGCUGCCUACAGUCACGGAAUGCCAAGGACAGCUGGAAACCACCAGAAGCUAAGAAGGAGAUUUUACCUGAAAGCCUCUCAAAGAAAUCAAUCAUACUCACACCUCCUUUUUGAAUUUCUGGCCUCGUGAAUGGUGAAAAAAUAAAUUUCUGUCGUCUUAAGCCCCA